Medicago truncatula (barrel medic) is the source of this 68-nucleotide non-coding RNA. The record is from Rfam. NCBI's taxonomy places the organism in Eukaryota, Viridiplantae, Streptophyta, Magnoliopsida, Fabales, Fabaceae.
UUGAGCCGUACGAGAUGAAAUUCUCAUAUACGGUUCUCAGGGGGGUCCUUUGGUUUACCUAUCUCAAU